This is a long non-coding RNA of Lactuca sativa (garden lettuce), 930 nucleotides long. RefSeq lists it as uncharacterized. Lineage: Eukaryota; Viridiplantae; Streptophyta; Magnoliopsida; Asterales; Asteraceae. The record is from RefSeq and is a predicted model, not a curated record.
AGGGUUUUGUUUUUCACAUGAAAAACGUCCGCCUCCAUUUUAGCGGGCUCCGUAGAUGAAUUUUUUUAAUCUCGCUUCCCUCUAUCUCCUUUCUUCAUUCAUUUUCCCUCUUUCCCGCUUCCCUCUAUCUCCUUUCUUCAUUCGUUUUCCCUCUUUCUCGUUCAGUUUCCUACUCGAUCCUUCCACUCACACCCUCUCCUUCGAUCCUUUAUUCUUCAUUUUCCAACUGUUGAAGCUUACUCCGCCAGAGUUACUUCUGUUUGCAGCAGCUGCAAUGGUUCACAUCGAGUUCAGUGUCAUCUGCUUGCCAAAUUUACUUCUUUCCACCGCCAUCGGAGUUCCUUUUUUCCUGUUAUCGUCAUCAUUGAUUCGUCGUCAUUGUCAUCUGCUUGUCGUCGCCGUCAUCUGCUUGCCAUCACCAUCGUCAUCACCGUUUCAAGUUUUGUUUUGAUCUAGGCACAUUCAUCCUUUCUCAGUCACCUCUUUUGUUCGAUUUGUUCUCCAACUAAGAAUUAUCACUUCUUACUGACCUAGAGGAGCUAGAUUUAAGCUCUACUAGGCUUCAUGGCACACCCAAUAUCCAAGGCUGAAAUCUGGAAUGUAUCUUCCUCCCCCUCUCUCUCUUGACGGACCACCAUUUCCACCCAUCGGGCUCGAUUUGCUGGUGAAGCAAAUAGACCACCAUUGUAACUCUCCAAGAUCGAUUUGCAGGAAGAAUAUGAUUCAAAACUCAAAUUGAAGAACACUUGUGAGCCUUUAUCGAUUCAACUUACCCGCUAAUUUGCCAAGUAAUCCACAAAAUAAUUCUCAGUUUUAUGUUUGUAAGCACUUAGUUAAACUUUUGUAGUUGACACUUUUAAUAUGUAUUAUUAGACACAUUUAAUGUAUUAUUAGACAAUGUUCAUUAGUAAUAUGUAUUUGUAUUUGAUA